GAUUUCUGGAUCGAUUUGCCUGUCCCGCCACGGUAACGUGUGUGAGUGACGGUGUGAAUCGUCCAUCCUUCUAGAUUGGCUGGUUAUGGUGCAAACUAUAAUUAAGUGGUCUAGAUCUAUUACUUUGAACAAAUUAGAGUGUUUCAAGCAGGCAUACCGCUAUGAAUACAUUAGCAUGGGAUAAUAAUUUAGGACUUCGGUUCUAUUUUAUUGGUUUCUAGGACUGAAGUAAUGAUUGAUAGGGACAGUUGGGGGUGCUAGUAUUCAGUAAGAAAGGGUGAAAUCUUUGGAUUUACUGAAGACUAACUUAUGCGAAAGCAUU
RNAcentral lists this ribosomal RNA (322 nucleotides) under uncultured Bodomorpha. RNAcentral describes it as "SSU rRNA". The stretch from base 111 to 322 matches the Rfam family "Eukaryotic small subunit ribosomal RNA", at positions 743 to 955 of the family's 1831-position model. The record is from RNAcentral. Lineage: Eukaryota; Cercozoa; Glissomonadida.